RNAcentral lists this ribosomal RNA (465 nucleotides) under Vreelandella stevensii. RNAcentral describes it as "partial 16S ribosomal RNA". It matches the Rfam family "Bacterial small subunit ribosomal RNA", at positions 338 to 795 of the family's 1533-position model. The record is from RNAcentral. Lineage: Bacteria; Pseudomonadati; Pseudomonadota; Gammaproteobacteria; Oceanospirillales; Halomonadaceae.
CCUACGGGAGGCAGCAGUGGGGAAUAUUGGACAAUGGGCGAAAGCCUGAUCCAGCCAUGCCGCGUGUGUGAAGAAGGCCUUCGGGUUGUAAAGCACUUUCAGUGGGGAAGAAAGCCUUGGGGCUAAUACCCUCGAGGAAGGACAUCACCCACAGAAGAAGCACCGGCUAACUCCGUGCCAGCAGCCGCGGUAAUACGGAGGGUGCGAGCGUUAAUCGGAAUUACUGGGCGUAAAGCGCGCGUAGGCGGUCUGAUAAGCCGGUUGUGAAAGCCCCGGGCUCAACCUGGGAACGGCAUCCGGAACUGUCAGGCUAGAGUGCAGGAGAGGAAGGUAGAAUUCCCGGUGUAGCGGUGAAAUGCGUAGAGAUCGGGAGGAAUACCAGUGGCGAAGGCGGACUUCUGGACUGACACUGACGCUGAGGUGCGAAAGCGUGGGUAGCAAACAGGAUUAGAUACCCGGGUAGUC